This 357-nucleotide ribosomal RNA is filed under the name Triticum aestivum (bread wheat). RNAcentral describes it as "partial small subunit ribosomal RNA". Lineage: Eukaryota; Viridiplantae; Streptophyta; Magnoliopsida; Poales; Poaceae. The record is from RNAcentral.
AUGACAAAAGAUCUUCGAGUCGUGAGCGUAAUUUCCACAAUUGUGGAAGACCCAGACACUAUUCCAAUGAGUGUACGACCCCCUAUAAAAGAAGAGAAAAUUAACCCAAAAGGAGAAGUAAAAGAGAAGAAUCACCACCAAGAGAAAGGAGGAGUAGAGAUGAUCCUUAUAAAUGAUGAACCUCUCGAAGAAGCAUGGAUUCGGAAAGGAAGAGCAAAUCAUCAAGGAGCGACACAAAGCGAAGACAUCAAGCUCAUGUUGGUGAACGGGUAUCCGGCUCCGACUCCGACCAUCACUCCGAAAGAAGUUAUCACUCCGACUCCAAAUAUACUCAAGAUGAAGGUGUUGCCGGUCUAG